CUCCCUCAAAAUUAUUUUUCAUUUCCCUCCUUAACAUUCAUAAGUAGUAUUCAUUCUUUCAUGCCCUUUUCAUAGUAUUCAAAAUCCAAUGAAACCCUAACGCCCAAAAUUCUAAUUCCUACUCAAUUAUUACCCGCUUAUUCAUCAUCAAUUUCAUCAUCUUCCUAAAAAUACUAUUCGACAGAGAUCCUUUAUUUUUCCUAUUAAAUAAUAAAGAAACAUCAGAAUAUUUGAUGCUUUGUUCUUGCUACAUCUACAUGUCAACAGUUUCGGUUACUGAUGCAAAGUAGUUGCUUGCUAUAUCAGUGGGAUUCGAAGCGCGAAAACGCCCUUUUUCUGUAAUUGAGGAAGCCAAGUGCAGGUCCCUGAUGAUCCAUGUCAAGAAAAUAUAAUUGAUCCCUUAUGCAAAUAGUGACGAUGAACGAGCAACACAAGGACUACUACUGUCAUUUCAAAGUACUGAUAUAUGCAAGGCAUAUAUCUUUGGAGACUAGUUGCGAGAUAUUAUAUGGUCUUGGGAAGGCAAACAACUAUUACUCGAACGUUUAGCCAGAGAUUAAGUGGAUCUUCAGACAUUUUUCGUGUGGAAGGCUUCAUCAUGAUCAAGAGUUAGAGAAAAUUUAAUAUGUAUUUGUUGUAUUGUAUUAUAGCUAUUUGAUAAUAUCAGUUAUUAGACCAAAUGGUACUAGCUAUUAGAUUCAAACAGUUUACUUUUUUGGUUAUGUAGUUGGCACUAUGAAAUUAUGAAUUAAUAGUUAUUUUGCUUAGGAUUUAA
Molecule: long non-coding RNA, 775 nt
Organism: Nicotiana tabacum (common tobacco)
Lineage: Eukaryota; Viridiplantae; Streptophyta; Magnoliopsida; Solanales; Solanaceae
Source: RefSeq, a predicted model, not a curated record